GGCUCCAUAGUGUAGUGGUUAGCACGUUUGCUUUACACGCAGAAGGUCCUGGGUUUACACCCCAGGUGGAGCCA
This is a non-coding RNA of Pteropus alecto (black flying fox), 74 nucleotides long. The record is from Rfam. Lineage: Eukaryota; Metazoa; Chordata; Mammalia; Chiroptera; Pteropodidae.